Molecule: ribosomal RNA, 468 nt
Filed under: uncultured bacterium
Lineage: Bacteria
Description: partial 16S ribosomal RNA
Rfam family: Bacterial small subunit ribosomal RNA
Source: RNAcentral
GACGAACGCUGGCGGCGUGCUUAACACAUGCAAGUCGAACGGAAAUGCCCUGCUUUCGUGGGGUGCCAGAGUGGCGAACGGGUGAGUAACACGAGAGUAACCUGCCCUCGACUUUGGGAUAACUACAGGAAACUGGGGCUAAUACCGGACAGGAGCUCCUACUGCAUGGCCGUAGUUGCAACGUUUCGGCGGUGGGGGAUGGACUCGAGGCUCAUCAGCUUGUUGGUGGGGGAGUGGCUUACCAAGGCUUUGACGGGUAGCCGGCCUGAGAGGGUGACCGGGGACAUUGGGACUGAGAUAGGGCCCAGUAGCGUACGGGAGGCAGCAGGGGGAAAUAUUGCACAACGGGCGGAAGCCUGAUGCAGCAGCGCCGCGUGCGUGAUGACGGCCUUCGAGUGGUAAACCGCUUUCGCCUGUGAUGAAGCGGGAGUGACGGUAAUGGGUAAAGAAGCACCGGCUAACUACGUG